AUUGAACGCUGGUGGCAGGCUUAACACAUGCAAGUCGAGCGGGGUGAUGGUGCUUGCACUAUCACUUAGCGGCGGACGGGUGAGUAAUGCUUAGGAAUCUGCCUAUUAGUGGGGGACAACAUCUCGAAAGGGAUGCUAAUACCGCAUACGUCCUACGGGAGAAAGCAGGGGAUCACUUGUGACCUUGCGCUAAUAGAUGAGCCUAAGUCGGAUUAGCUAGUUGGUGGGGUAAAGGCCUACCAAGGCGACGAUCUGUAGCGGGUCUGAGAGGAUGAUCAGACACACUGGGACUGAGAAACGGCCCAGAGUCGUACGGGAGGCAGCAGUGGGGAAUAUUGGACAAUGGGGGGAACCCUGAUCCAGCCAUGCCGCGUGUGUGAAGAAGGCCUUAUGGUUGUAAAGCACUUUAAGCGAGGAGGAGGCUCUUUUGGUUAAUACCCAAGAUGAGUGGACGUUACUCGCAGAAUAAGCACCGGCUAACUCUGUGCCAGCCGCCGCGGUAA
This 503-nucleotide ribosomal RNA is filed under the name uncultured bacterium. RNAcentral's name for it is "partial 16S ribosomal RNA". It matches the Rfam family "Bacterial small subunit ribosomal RNA", at positions 30 to 523 of the family's 1533-position model. The record is from RNAcentral.